Molecule: ribosomal RNA, 128 nt
Filed under: uncultured Sulfurovum sp.
Lineage: Bacteria; Pseudomonadati; Campylobacterota; Epsilonproteobacteria; Campylobacterales; Sulfurovaceae
Description: partial 16S ribosomal RNA
Rfam family: Bacterial small subunit ribosomal RNA
Source: RNAcentral
ACUCUGAUGCAGCACGCCGCGUGGAGGAUGACAGCAUUUCGGUGUGUAAACUCCUUUUAUUAGGGAAGAUAAUGACGGUACCUCUUGAAUAAGCACCGGCUAACUCCGUGCCAGCAGCCGCGGUAAUC